Molecule: ribosomal RNA, 433 nt
Filed under: uncultured bacterium
Lineage: Bacteria
Description: partial 16S ribosomal RNA
Rfam family: Bacterial small subunit ribosomal RNA
Source: RNAcentral
AACGAACGCUGGCGGCAUGCCUAACACAUGCAAGUCGAACGAGCCCUUCGGGUCUAGUGGCGCACGGGUGCGUAACGCGUGGGAACCUUCCCUUAUGGUCGGAAUAACUCCCAGAAAGGGGUGCUAAUACCGGAUAAUGUCUUCGGACGAAAGAUUUAUCGCCUUUGGAUGUGCCCGCGUUGGAUUAGCUAGUUGGUAGGGUAAAAGCCUACUAAGGCGACGAUCCAUAGCUGGUCUGAGAGGAUGAUCAGCCACACUGGGACUGAGACACGGCCCAGACUCCUACGGGAGGCAGCAGUGGGGAAUAUUGGACAAUGGGCGAAAGCCUGAUCCAGCAAUGCCGCGUGAGUGAUGAAGGCCUUAGGGUUGUAAAGCUCUUUUACCCGGGAUGAUAAUGACAGUACCGGGAGAAUAAGCCCCGGCUAACUCCGUG